This is a long non-coding RNA of Olea europaea var. sylvestris, 2291 nucleotides long. RefSeq lists it as uncharacterized. Lineage: Eukaryota; Viridiplantae; Streptophyta; Magnoliopsida; Lamiales; Oleaceae. The transcript has 3 exons. The record is from RefSeq and is a predicted model, not a curated record.
UAUCACUGGAAAAAUUCAUAAAAUAAAUAGUAGUAGUCAAUCAACUGUACAUCAAGUUUCCCCUUUUAAAAGGGAUGCUCGCAAAGCCGAAAAUCCAUCAAGCAACAUAUAUAAGAGAUUUUUCCAGCUUUAGUGUGUUGAGAUAUAAGAAAGAUGGGAAUAAAGUUAUGGGUAACAUUAGUGAUGCCAGUGCUUUCAUUACUAAAUGGAUGGUACUGUUUAGGGUGUUGGGAAGAAGAGAGGACUGCUCUUUUGCACCUCAAAGCAAACAUAAACUUUCCAGAUGGAAGAUCGCUGACUUCAUGGGUGGUUAAUGAGAUUGGAACUGACUGUUGUCAAUGGCAAGGGGUUGAAUGUAGUAACACAACUAAACAAGUAAUCCAUCUUAACCUUGAUUUCGCCAUGGAUCAAAAAUUAGGAGAUUGGUAUUUUAAUGCCUCUCUAUUUCUUCCCUUUCAAGAGCUUAGAAAUCUCUCUUUGUCGGGGAAUCAGUUAGUAGGUUGGAUUGAGAAUGAAGGUAUGAUGUCAUCUCUCCUUAAUUGGGUAGCUUCAAUUUUAUUAUUCCUGUUUUGUUUGAGUGGUAAAUAAAGAUAUAUUGAACUUUAUUGCAGGUUUUGAUAAAUUGUCAAAAUUGAGAAAUUUUGAGGGCCUUGAUAUGUUUGAAAAUUCAUUUGAUCCCAAAAUUUUGUCAUCUCUUAGUCAGCUUUCUUCUCUCAAGAAUUUGAGAGUUGGAUUCAACAUUUUAGAGAGAGAAAAUUACAGAAAUAGUAAGUUCUAUAUACUUCGUAUGCUGGUGGUUUUUUCAUAGAUCAUGUAAAUUAUCGAAGAAUCAACCCUUUAGAAAAUAAAUCAAGUUUAUUAUGAUUGAACUUUUCUUGUUGCAGUAUAAGAUAAGCAAUUUCUCUAAACCUUUAAUUUUCUCUAAUAAAAGUACAAAUCAAACAACCAAUUUAUCCUUACUACUGUAUUACGAGAAAAGUAGAGAGAGUAAAUAAUUUUAAAUUACAGUAAUAAUAGAACAUUGUCGAGAAAACAUAUGCAGGUAACCAACAUUAAGUGCAAGAAUUUUUCAGAGUGAAGAUGAGAUAACGGAGUUCCAACUCUUACUAAUUCUAUGAAUGCAAGAACACAGUCCAUGGAAAAAACAAUAUAAAAGCCAGAAGCUCAACUUGAGAUUUUAUCACUAAUUUAAGUUGUUUGUAAAAAUAGAAAUCUCGAUUUCAUUUUAGAUAAAUCUACUUACCAUACUGUGACUUGAAGAUUAUGCAAAUUGUUCUCCUACUACAUCAAAACAUUUGCCAUUUAUUCCUUCCUAAUAAGUUUAGCAUUACUAAAUGUAUAUGUUAAUCGCAUUGAGUUAGAUAUUAAUAGUGCUGGUCAUCCCAAGUAAUUCAAAUGGAAAACAUUAAGGACAUGCUUGGUACUUGAAAGUACAACAAAUAAGACAUUUUCGUCUUUAAAAUUGGAAUACACCUUACUACAGAAGCAGUCUUUCAUUAUGGAAUACACCUUUCUUUUUGUUUACUUAUUUCCUCUCUAGGCAUCAUUUCAAUGUUGAAUAGCUUAGACGAAACAUAUUAUUAGUUUCUACGAAAAAUCAUUGUGUAGGCAAUGGAAGACUUUUUGGAUUAACCAAGCUAGAAGUUCUUCAUAUUUGGGGUACUGAUUGGUUUGGUGAUAACGACAUUCUAUCGAUGCUAAACCUGAAAGAUUUUACCAAUUUGAAGGAGCUCGACCUAAGUCAAAAUAAAGCCAGAAGCUUGGGUACUAUUUUUGGUGUAUCAUCUCAUUUCGUUCUUCAUCAUUAUUCAUUUUAGAUUUCCUUUUCUUUGAUUACUUCACUUGUGCCUUAUUAUUAUGAACAAAAGCAUUCACGGUAUUUUGCACUUGGGCCCUCCCUUUCACUAAAUAGUGGUUUACAGUUUAUUAGAUAUUAUAUUGUACCUUGUUGUGGAUUCAGUUAUACAAACAGAUCUAAAAUAUUUGAAGGUCCUUAAUUUACAAGGAAAUUACUUCAAUAAUAGCAUUUUCUCCUCACUUCAUGUGCUAUCAUCACUCAAGUCUCUAGAUCUCUCUUACAAUGAACUAAAAGGAACCAUCCAAGUGAAAGAUUUGAUAAUUCGGAAGUAACAAAGCAGUGAAGCCAAAUAUAACAGCAUGGCAGGAAGCCAUGAUGGCCAUGUGUAUGCAUAUUCAAUCAUGAAAGUAUGAAAUGAUUAUAUGUACUUGUAUUAAUAAAUGGGAAUCUGAUUUGUUUCCCAGUUAAAUUUUUUUUGUUUGAGAAAAACAUU